GACGAACGCUGGCGGCGUGCUUAACACAUGCAAGUCGAAUGGAAAGGCCCUGCUUUUGUGGGGUGCUCGAGUGGCGAACGGGUGAGUAACACGUGAGUAACCUGCCCUUGACUUUGGGAUAACUUCAGGAAACUGGGGCUAAUACCGGAUAGGAGCUCCUGCUGCAUGGUGGGGGUUGGAAAGUUUCGGCGGUUGGGGAUGGACUCGCGGCUUAUCAGCUUGUUGGUGGGGUAGUGGCUUACCAAGGCUUUGACGGGUAGCCGGCCUGAGAGGGUGACCGGCCACAUUGGGACUGAGAUACGGCCCAGACUCCUACGGGAGGCAGCAGUGGGGAAUAUUGCGCAAUGGGCGGAAGCCUGAUGCAGCAACGCCGCGUGCGGGAUGACGGCCUUCGGGUUGUAAACCGCUUUCGCCUGUGACGAAGCGUGAGUGACGGUAAUGGGUAAAGAAGCACCGGCUAACUACGUG
RNAcentral lists this ribosomal RNA (468 nucleotides) under uncultured bacterium. Its description in RNAcentral is "partial 16S ribosomal RNA". It matches the Rfam family "Bacterial small subunit ribosomal RNA", at positions 28 to 507 of the family's 1533-position model. The record is from RNAcentral.